AUGUCAUGUCAUGCCACGCUGGAUCCCAUCCCAUGGCCACCACAGCAGAGAAGAAGAGUUCGCGCGGACGCCUCGGCACGGCGCAUUCCCACCACACGUACGCAGCGCAGGACACAGGCGGCGUACGCACGCACGCGAACACUCCGCGCCCAUGGCCUCUUGUUGUUCCCGCGGCAGGCAGCCGAUGAAUUAAACAAGGACAAAAUCCUUGUUCCUAUCCACUGCGGAUAUAGCAGUAGCUACAAGGGCGCCUCCUCGCGUGUGCCACGUGGAACAAAUAGAUUGGGCAGGAAAAUAAAAAGAAUAAAAGGAAAAGCAAAUAGUGUAAAAGAGGUCGAACGAAACCCUCUCGUCCCCACACCCUCCGCCUCGAGCGCGUCCUCCUCCCUAUCCAUCGCCGCCACCCCCUCCUCCUCCUCCCUCUGUCGCCGCCGCCACCUCGCCCCUCCGCUGAUCUCGUGCUCUCUCCUUCUCCCACCCCGGGCUCCAUCUUCGUCGGUCCCUUCCUGCGCUCCAUCCCUUCCUCCUCGUUUGUGGCAGGCAUCACCGCUGCUGCGGAGGGCUCCUCAAACCGCCGCAUCCGAGACAACCCUAGAUGUGGCAGGCGACUCCAUCACCGGUCGCGUACGGCGGAGGCCAGCCCAGAUCCGCCUCCUCCAGCCCAUCCUCUUCGUCACGCACAACGGGAAAGGUGUUAGAGCUCCUGUGGUACUCAGAUAUGGAUGCAUCAUGGGGCUAGAAAAGGAGCGGUUCUACUGCUGCUCCUGCAAUGACCAAGGGUUCUCUGUUGGUUCAUUGGCAGUUCCUAAUUUUUUUUCCUGUAGCCGGUUGAGAGAGAGGUGGGAAAGGGAUUCCACCAUUAGCAUAAAGAUCAAGGCGGCGGGCGGUGGCCGCGGAAAGCAGGGUAUAUUGCAACUUCAGAAAUUUAUGGAAAUGAUGGCUCUAAGGGUUAGAAGAAGCCAAGAAACUGACCAGCUAAGUUUAUCCAUGAAGGCCUUCGUAGAUAGACAUCAUACAUGGUACGUCAACAACAAGUUAAGCAGACGCCAUGGACAAGUUGCUUUGGCCCUGGCGCCGCAGCCAUGGACAUGCUGCCUUUCUCAUCUCUUCUGUGUGUGUCUCUGUGCGUGUGUGUGUGUGCGCACGCGCGCGCGUGUGCGCGUGUGUUCUAUUCAAUUCAAUUUGGAGUUUGUGUUCUGUUCACGAAGCUUCCUGCCUUCUCUGCUGCAGAACAUCUCUCUCUGUUUCUCACUCUGGUGUGAUGUGAUCCAGGUCCCAGAAUCUGUGUGGUGGCAUGACAUGUACUUGGAUGCCUCUGCGCGAGGCGGCGGUGGCGGGAGGGUUUCGGCUAUUGAGACCGACACCAAGCUCUUCAUCGUCAAUUUGGACUUUGGUGUUUCAAUCGAGGACGUGAAGGGAACAACUAAGAGGAGGCGCGCCAAGGGCGCGCCCCAGCCACUAGUUCCUGCCACACGUACGCAGCGUAGGACAGGACACAGCAUGGAUUUCCGGAUAUUCGUUUCUGAGCCCGAGCUCAGCUGCUCUCGAAAUCCACACCACCAGCUCGCAUGUGGAUCUGUGUCCCCCGUGGUAUUUCCAGACCGUAUAUGUGCAUGUGAAAUCCAGCUCGGGCGCGCAAUGAAUGCGGCGGAGCGUUGCACUAUUACUGAUUCUAGCAGCUACCACGGGCAUUUUUCAGAUAGAAUAUUUACUCUGUCCGAGCUGGUCGGAGAUGCAUCUGCACAUUACCACCGACCCGCUGACCAAAACCAGAAUCAGCAUUUGAGUUUGCAGGCUCGACGCGGUUGGCCUUGCUGGUCCAACAAGGCAACAACACCAGAGGCACCAGAGGCAUCGGUUCUGGAUGAGGCAAAACUCCCUAUUAUUCCCAAUCUAUGCCAUCACAAAAAAAUUCUUCACAGAAGAUCCCAGGCUUGGGGAGGCACAGCCCCCAGCCAUACACAUAGCUCCGCCAAUGUCUGUAUGGGUUCACCUGUCGACCGCGUCGAGGAGGAACUCCAUGCCAGAAUCCUCCAUUUUUUCCUGCGGACGCCAAUGCACAACACCGGCCGUACUGUUCUUUUUCGGGGUGGAGAAAGGGGACAGGCGGUGUCCAGAGUGAACCAGCAAGGAGCGGGCGGUGUGGUGGGGUUGCUGCUUGGCCCCACACGCGAACGUGUGGCAUGCCGACGUGCGACAGACGGCUCACCUUUUCCAAUAAAGUCCUGGUCCACGGAUCGGGAUGCCCAUGAAAAACUGAAAAUACUUGAAAGGCCGGAUAAAGCACAACUGAGCACUUGCUCCAUCUCUAUCUCGAUGCUUAUCCAGAUGGCCAAUGGCAUUAAUUCUUACACUGAUAAUGUAUGCACAACCAGCAUUCGAGACCAUGUCUCAGCCCUUGAAGUUCUUGUAAAGGCAUUGCUGCCCAAAGGAUUGAAUGAUCCACAUUAUCGGCUCCGAUCUGUGGAUAGGAUUCUUGAGUAUGAAGAACUACCACUGGCAAAUUUUGGUGGAGCAGAGCAGGCCCAACCAAGCCCUAAAUAUCUCUGUGGCAGUUCGAGUCGCCAAAGUCAUACUUGGGUGACUCAUGGUGUUCGUUUGGCUGGUUUAGAGACUAAAAAGAAGGUCAAGUGGAAUGUUUCAAAGUUUAAGGCUGAUGGCGUUGAUGGGGGAGCAAAGGUGGAGGAUGGUGAUGACUCGAACUCAGGAAUGGAGGUCGACCAUGGGAGGAGAGCAGUUGAUUAG
This 2745-nucleotide ribosomal RNA is filed under the name Triticum aestivum (bread wheat). RNAcentral's name for it is "partial small subunit ribosomal RNA". The record is from RNAcentral. Lineage: Eukaryota; Viridiplantae; Streptophyta; Magnoliopsida; Poales; Poaceae.